UCCAGACUCCUACGGGAGGCAGCAGUGGGGGAUAUUGCACAAUGGAGGGAACUCUGAUGCAGCGACGCCGCGUGAGGGAAGAAGGUUUUCGGAUUGUAAACCUCUGUCUUCGGUGACGAAACGAGACGGUAGCCGAGGAGGAAGCCACGGCUAACUACGUGCCAGCAGCCGCGGUAAUACGGAGGGUGCGAGCGUUAAUCGGAAUUACUGGGCGUAAAGCGCUCGUAGGCGGUAUGUCAAGUCAAGGGUGAAAUCCCCGCGCUCAACGUGGGAACUGCCUUUGAAACUGGCAAACUGGAGUGUGUGAGAGGACAGUGGAAUUCCAGGUGUAGGAGUGAAAUCCGUAGAUAUCUGGAGGAACAUCAGUGGCGAAGGCGACUAUCUGGCACAUAACUGACGCUGAGGAGCGAAAGCGUGGGUAGCAAACAGGAUUAGAUACCCCGGUAA
This 447-nucleotide ribosomal RNA is filed under the name uncultured bacterium. Its description in RNAcentral is "bacterial SSU rRNA". It matches the Rfam family "Bacterial small subunit ribosomal RNA", at positions 330 to 793 of the family's 1533-position model. The record is from RNAcentral.